Molecule: ribosomal RNA, 491 nt
Filed under: uncultured bacterium
Lineage: Bacteria
Description: partial 16S ribosomal RNA
Rfam family: Bacterial small subunit ribosomal RNA
Source: RNAcentral
AGUGAACGCUGGCGGUAGGCCUAACACAUGCAAGUCGAACGGCAGCACAGUAAGAGCUUGCUCUUACGGGUGGCGAGUGGCGGACGGGUGAGGAAUACAUCGGAAUCUACUUUUUCGUGGGGGAUAACGUAGGGAAACUUACGCUAAUACCGCAUACGACCUACGGGUGAAAGCAGGGGAUCUUCGGACCUUGCGCGAUUGAAUGAGCCGAUGUCGGAUUAGCUAGUUGGCGGGGUAAAGGCCCACCAAGGCGACGAUCCGUAGCUGGUCUGAGAGGAUGAUCAGCCACACUGGAACUGAGACACGGUCCAGACUCCUACGGGAGGCAGCAGUGGGGAAUAUUGGACAAUGGGCGCAAGCCUGAUCCAGCCAUACCGCGUGGGUGAAGAAGGCCUUCGGGUUGUAAAGCCCUUUUGUUGGGAAAGAUAAGCAGCAGGUUAAGACCCCGCUGUUCGGACGGUACCCAAAGAAUAAGCACCGGCUAACUUCGU